Morone saxatilis (striped sea-bass) is the source of this 607-nucleotide long non-coding RNA. RefSeq lists it as uncharacterized. The transcript is spliced from 3 exons. The record is from RefSeq and is a predicted model, not a curated record. NCBI's taxonomy places the organism in Eukaryota, Metazoa, Chordata, Actinopteri, Moronidae.
CUUUCCCUACUGCAGCAAUGUCUAAGAGAGGACGUGGUGGUUCAUCUGGAGCCAAGUUCAGGAUCUCACUGGGUCUCCCAGUGGGAGCGGUCAUCAACUGCGCUGACAACACAGCCGGAGCUGCCAGGUGCCAGUCAACCAGCGGGGAGUCCAGGAAGUUGCAGCUCCUGGCCAGGAAAUAAUGUGGCACAACCCGCUGUACGACGGUGAAUUGUGCCUUUGCAUGUAGGUUUUUUUUUUACGGAUGAAACCAUUAAGACCAGCUGCUGGCUGUAACUUCACAUUUGCUGUACAGACAUGAGAAUGUUCCGUAACUCUGCAAGAAACCAAUAACUUUGUCUAAAUUGUAUUUUUUUUUUCCCACAAACACAAUUUCCUGCAGAGGUCAGGAAAUGUGUUAACAUUUUUAAUGUUGACAAAACCUUCUGCAAAAAGAUACUAUACCAUAAAUAUGAAGGUGCCCUUUCAUUUCCCCUGGGCUCAGGAACAGUCAGGAACGACUACAAAGCUGUGCUUCGUGCUCAUUAUAUUGUGGUGAGCUGGUAAAUUAGUACUCUUAAUAGUGCCAAACUCUUUUUAGAAGUGGAAAUAAACCCACCCCCUUCCA